RNAcentral lists this ribosomal RNA (253 nucleotides) under uncultured bacterium. Its description in RNAcentral is "partial 16S ribosomal RNA". It matches the Rfam family "Bacterial small subunit ribosomal RNA", at positions 524 to 776 of the family's 1533-position model. The record is from RNAcentral.
UACAGAGGGGGCAAGCGUUGUCCGGAAUCAUUGGGCGUAAAGAGCGUGUAGGCGGCCCGAUAAGUCCGCUGUGAAAGUCCAGGGCUCAACCCUGGAAUGCCAGUGGAAACUGUCGGGCUAGAGUCCGGAAGAGGCGAGUGGAAUUCCUGGUGUAGCGGUGAAAUGCGCAGAUAUCAGGAAGAACACCCGUGGCGAAGGCGGUUCUCUGGGACGGUACUGACGCUGAGACGCGAAAGCGUGGGGAGCGAACAGG